This 429-nucleotide ribosomal RNA is filed under the name bacterium. RNAcentral describes it as "partial 16S ribosomal RNA". It matches the Rfam family "Bacterial small subunit ribosomal RNA", at positions 355 to 776 of the family's 1533-position model. The record is from RNAcentral.
UAGGGAAUCUUCCACAAUGGACGCAAGUCUGAUGGAGCAACGCCUCGUGAGUGAAGAAGGUUUUCGGAUCGUAAAGCUCUGUUGUUGGUGAAGAAGGAUAGAGGCAGUAACUGGUCUUUAUUUGACGGUAAUCAACCAGAAAGUCACGGCUAACUACGUGCCAGCAGCCGCGGUAAUACGUAGGUGGCAAGCGUUGUCCGGAUUUAUUGGGCGUAAAGCGAGCGCAGGCGGAAUGAUAAGUCUGAUGUGAAAGCCCACGGCUCAACCGUGGAACUGCAUCGGAAACUGUCAUUCUUGAGUGCAGAAGAGGAGAGUGGAAUUCCAUGUGUAGCGGUGGAAUGCGUAGAUAUAUGGAAGAACACCAGUGGCGAAGGCGGCUCUCUGGUCUGCAACUGACGCUGAGGCUCGAAAGCAUGGGUAGCGAACAGG